CCUACGGGAGGCAGCAGCUAAGAAUCUUCCGCAAUGGCGAAAGCCUGACGGACGACGCCGCGUGAACGAAGAAGGCCGUGAGGUGUAAAGUUCUUUUCGGGAGGGGGAACAACCGUGGCAGGGAAUGGCCGCGGGGUGACGUGAAUCCCGGAAUAAGCCCCGGCUAACUACGUGCCAGCAGCCGCGGUAAU
Molecule: ribosomal RNA, 191 nt
Filed under: uncultured Sphaerochaeta sp.
Lineage: Bacteria; Pseudomonadati; Spirochaetota; Spirochaetia; Spirochaetales; Sphaerochaetaceae
Description: partial 16S ribosomal RNA
Rfam family: Bacterial small subunit ribosomal RNA
Source: RNAcentral